Molecule: transfer RNA, 77 nt
Filed under: Chloroflexi bacterium RBG_16_57_8
Lineage: Bacteria; Bacillati; Chloroflexota
Also listed under: 2 other names
Description: tRNA-Glu
Rfam family: tRNA
About the family: Transfer RNA (tRNA) molecules are approximately 80 nucleotides in length. Their secondary structure includes four short double-helical elements and three loops (D, anti-codon, and T loops). Further hydrogen bonds mediate the characteristic L-shaped molecular structure. tRNAs have two regions of fundamental functional importance: the anti-codon, which is responsible for specific mRNA codon recognition, and the 3' end, to which the tRNAs corresponding amino acid is attached (by aminoacyl-tRNA synthetases). tRNAs cope with the degeneracy of the genetic code in two manners: having more than one tRNA (with a specific anti-codon) for a particular amino acid; and 'wobble' base-pairing, i.e. permitting non-standard base-pairing at the 3rd anti-codon position.
Source: RNAcentral
GGCGCAUUCGUCUAGAGGCUUAGGACACUUCCCUCUCAAGGAAGAGAUCACGGGUUCGAAUCCCGUAUGCGCUACCA